RNAcentral lists this transfer RNA (67 nucleotides) under Polycheles typhlops. RNAcentral describes it as "tRNA-Phe". The record is from RNAcentral. Lineage: Eukaryota; Metazoa; Arthropoda; Malacostraca; Decapoda; Polychelidae.
GUCCUUAUAAUUUAAAAUAGAAUUUUGUAUUGAAGAUACAAAGGUGAUAUGUAGAUAUCUAUGGGUA